AACGAACGCUGGCGGCAUGCCUAACACAUGCAAGUCGAACGAGACCUUCGGGUCUAGUGGCGCACGGGUGCGUAACGCGUGGGAACCUGCCCUUAGGUUCGGAAUAACUCCCCGAAAGGGGUGCUAAUACCGGAUAAUGUCUUCGGACCAAAGAUUUAUCGCCUUUGGAUGGGCCCGCGUUGGAUUAGCUAGUUGGUAGGGUAAAGCCCUCCCAAGGGCCAGUUCCUAGGCUGGUCUGGGGAGGAGACCCAGCACACUGGGACUGAGACACGGCCCAGACUCCUACGGGAGGCAGCAGUGGGGAAUAUUGGACAAUGGGCGAAAGCCUGAUCCAGCAAUGCCGCGUGAGUGAUGAAGGCCUUAGGGUUGUAAAGCUCUUUUACCCGGGAUGAUAAUGACAGUACCGGGAGAAUAAGCUCCGGCUAACUCCGUG
RNAcentral lists this ribosomal RNA (433 nucleotides) under uncultured bacterium. Its description in RNAcentral is "partial 16S ribosomal RNA". It matches the Rfam family "Bacterial small subunit ribosomal RNA", at positions 29 to 507 of the family's 1533-position model. The record is from RNAcentral.